GUGUCGGCAUAGCGCGGAAACCGCGGGUAAUUCCCGGCGACGUCCGGAGGGGGCAUCCCUUCCGGACCAAAGCUCCGGCGUCGUGGGACGGACCGUCGUGGUAUUAGGUGGUUGGCGGGGUAACGGCCCACCAAGCCGAUGAUGCCUACCGGGCGUGAGAGCGUGGCCCGGCACACUGGGACUGAGACACUGCCCAGACUCCUACGGGAGGCUGCAGUCGAGAAUCUUCGGCAAUGGGCGCAAGCCUGACCGAGCGACGCCGCGUGGAGGACGAAGGCCCUCGGGUUGUAAACUCCUGUCGAGGGGGAGGAAGCCGCAAGGUUGACCGAUCCCUGGAGGAAGCACGGGCUAAGUUCGUGC
RNAcentral lists this ribosomal RNA (360 nucleotides) under uncultured Planctomycetales bacterium. Its description in RNAcentral is "bacterial SSU rRNA". It matches the Rfam family "Bacterial small subunit ribosomal RNA", at positions 135 to 508 of the family's 1533-position model. The record is from RNAcentral. Lineage: Bacteria; Pseudomonadati; Planctomycetota; Planctomycetia; Planctomycetales.